RNAcentral lists this ribosomal RNA (401 nucleotides) under uncultured bacterium. Its description in RNAcentral is "partial 16S ribosomal RNA". It matches the Rfam family "Archaeal small subunit ribosomal RNA", at positions 473 to 873 of the family's 1478-position model. The record is from RNAcentral.
ACACCGGCAGCUCUAGUGGUAGCAGUUUUUAUUGGGCCUAAAGCGUCCGUAGCCGGUUUAAUAAGUCUCUGGUGAAAUCCUGUAGCUUAACUGUGGGAAUUGCUGGAGAUACUAUUAGACUUGAGACCGGGAGAGGUUAGAGGUACUCCCAGGGUAGAGGUGAAAUUCUGUAAUCCUGGGAGGACCGCCUGUUGCGAAGGCGUCUAACUGGAACGGUUCUGACGGUGAGGGACGAAAGUUAGGGGCGCGAACCGGAUUAGAUACCCGGGUAGUCCUAACUGUAAACGAUGCGGACUUGGUGCUGGGGUGGCUUUGAGCUGCUCCAGUGCCGAAGGGAAGCUGUUAAGUCCGCCGCCUGGGAAGUACGGUCGCAAGACUGAAACUCAAAGGAAUUGACGGGG